RNAcentral lists this ribosomal RNA (481 nucleotides) under uncultured bacterium. Its description in RNAcentral is "partial 16S ribosomal RNA". It matches the Rfam family "Bacterial small subunit ribosomal RNA", at positions 28 to 507 of the family's 1533-position model. The record is from RNAcentral.
GAUGAACGCUGGCGGCAUGCCUAACACAUGCAAGUCGAACGGAGAUUCCGGACGGACGUUUUCGGAUGGAAGCCUGUAAUUCUUAGUGGCGGACGGGUGAGUAACGCGUGGGCAACCUGCCCUAUACAGGGGGAUAGCAGCUGGAAACGGCUGGUAAGACCGCAUAAGUCGGUUAAAUCGCAUGAUUUGAUCGGGAAAUGAGCAAUCAGGUAUAGGAUGGGCCCGCGUCCGAUUAGCCAGUUGGCAGGGUAAAAGCCUACCAAAGCGACGAUCGGUAGCCGGACUGAGAGGUCGGACGGCCACAUUGGGACUGAGACACGGCCCAAACUCCUACGGGAGGCAGCAGUGGGGGAUAUUGCACAAUGGAGGAAACUCUGAUGCAGCGACGCCGCGUGAGUGAAGAAGUAUUUCGGUAUGUAAAGCUCUAUCAGCAGGGAAGAUGAUGACGGUACCUGACGAAGAAGCCCCGGCUAACUACGUG